This 253-nucleotide ribosomal RNA is filed under the name uncultured bacterium. RNAcentral's name for it is "partial 16S ribosomal RNA". It matches the Rfam family "Bacterial small subunit ribosomal RNA", at positions 524 to 776 of the family's 1533-position model. The record is from RNAcentral.
GACGAGCCGUGCGAACGUUGUUCGGAAUCACUGGGCUUAAAGGGCGCGUAGGCGGACCGGCGAGUCAGGGGUGAAAGCCCGCGGCCCAACCGCGGAAGUGCCCCUGAUACCGCCGGCCUUGAGGGGGAUAGGGGCGUGCGGAACUUCGGGUGGAGCGGUGAAAUGCGUAGAUAUCCGAAGGAACACCGGUGGCGAAGGCGGCACGCUGGGUCCCUACUGACGCUGAGGCGCGAAAGCCAGGGGAGCGAACGGG